UAUUGUUCUCUAUUCUUUGGAGGUUGGAAAUCCCCAUUUCUGAAACCCUAGGUUGGUUUCUUCCAUAAGCUCGACCUCCAAUUGCCUUCCGGACCUGAUUCCUUGCAAUUGGUUCUUGGUAUAUAGUUCUGCAUCUGCAUCUGCAAUCCAGUAUAGAAGAAGCUAGUUUUAACAAUCAGCCAAAGGUCCUAGUAAGUAUUCAAGAGAACAGCACAAAUCUUGUCUACCACAUCAACAAAUCCUCAAUUCUCCCAGUCAUCCUUCUCACUUAACAAUGCAUUUGCACUAGAUGCUCU
Long non-coding RNA from Vigna radiata var. radiata (mung bean), 296 nucleotides. RefSeq lists it as uncharacterized. The record is from RefSeq and is a predicted model, not a curated record. The transcript has 3 exons. NCBI's taxonomy places the organism in Eukaryota, Viridiplantae, Streptophyta, Magnoliopsida, Fabales, Fabaceae.